This 413-nucleotide RNase P RNA is filed under the name Novosphingobium sp. TH158. Its description in RNAcentral is "Bacterial RNase P class A". It matches the Rfam family "Bacterial RNase P class A". From Rfam's summary of the family: Ribonuclease P (RNase P) is a ubiquitous endoribonuclease, found in archaea, bacteria and eukarya as well as chloroplasts and mitochondria. Its best characterised activity is the generation of mature 5'-ends of tRNAs by cleaving the 5'-leader elements of precursor-tRNAs. Cellular RNase Ps are ribonucleoproteins. The record is from Rfam by way of RNAcentral. Lineage: Bacteria; Pseudomonadati; Pseudomonadota; Alphaproteobacteria; Sphingomonadales; Sphingomonadaceae.
CCAGGGGGCCGGGCAGCCGCGUGACCGCAAGGUCCCGAGGAAAGUCCGGGCUCCACGAAACAAGGGUGGCGGGUAACGCCCGCCGGGCGACCUGCUUGCAGGGAAGCUCAGGGAAAGUGCCACAGAGAGCAGACCGCCCCAUUCCAUGGGGUAAGGGUGAAAGGGUGCGGUAAGAGCGCACCGCGCGACUGGUAACAGGAGCGGCACGGCAAACCCCACCCGGAGCAAGACCGAAUAGGGGCGGCGCGUCGGUUCUUCGGAACCGGUAGAUGUGUUUCGCAUCGACCGCCCGGGUUGGUUGCUUGAGCCACGCAGCAAUGCAUGGCCUAGAUGAAUGGCUGCCACCGCCGAUACGGUGCGAUUUUCGCAUACCGUCGGCGGGACAGAACCCGGCUUACAGGCCCCCUGGCAUA